This 265-nucleotide long non-coding RNA is filed under the name Equus caballus (horse). RNAcentral's name for it is "lncRNA (ENSECAG00000054425.1)". Lineage: Eukaryota; Metazoa; Chordata; Mammalia; Perissodactyla; Equidae. The record is from RNAcentral.
GUGUGGUAGUCUGCUCCGUAGAAGUGGUGGCUGUUGUGGUUGUAGCCUCAGUGGUAGUGCUGGCAGUUGGUGUGGUAGUCUGUUCAGUUGAAGUGGUAGCUGUUGUGAAGGUAGUCUCAGUGGUAGUGCUGGAGAUUGGGGUGGUAGUCUGUUCCACUGAAGUGGUGGCUGUUGUGACGGUUGUCGUUUCAGUGGAAAUGGUAGUGGUGGCUGUUGCAGUAGAAGCCUCAGUGGUAGUGCUGGUAGUUGGUGUGGUAGUCUGUUC